UUUGACCUCAAAUCAGGUAGGAUUACCCGCUGAACUUAAGCAUAUCCUUAAACG
Molecule: ribosomal RNA, 54 nt
Filed under: Nakaseomyces nivariensis
Lineage: Eukaryota; Fungi; Ascomycota; Saccharomycetes; Saccharomycetales; Saccharomycetaceae
Description: [Candida] nivariensis partial 28S ribosomal RNA
Source: RNAcentral